ACCUGGCUGGCUCAGUCGGCAGAGCGUUCGACUCUUGAUCUCGGAGUUGUGAGUUCAAGCCUCACUUUGGGUG
Molecule: transfer RNA, 73 nt
Filed under: Felis catus (domestic cat)
Lineage: Eukaryota; Metazoa; Chordata; Mammalia; Carnivora; Felidae
Rfam family: tRNA
About the family: Transfer RNA (tRNA) molecules are approximately 80 nucleotides in length. Their secondary structure includes four short double-helical elements and three loops (D, anti-codon, and T loops). Further hydrogen bonds mediate the characteristic L-shaped molecular structure. tRNAs have two regions of fundamental functional importance: the anti-codon, which is responsible for specific mRNA codon recognition, and the 3' end, to which the tRNAs corresponding amino acid is attached (by aminoacyl-tRNA synthetases). tRNAs cope with the degeneracy of the genetic code in two manners: having more than one tRNA (with a specific anti-codon) for a particular amino acid; and 'wobble' base-pairing, i.e. permitting non-standard base-pairing at the 3rd anti-codon position.
Source: Rfam by way of RNAcentral